RNAcentral lists this ribosomal RNA (492 nucleotides) under uncultured bacterium. Its description in RNAcentral is "partial 16S ribosomal RNA". It matches the Rfam family "Bacterial small subunit ribosomal RNA", at positions 29 to 507 of the family's 1533-position model. The record is from RNAcentral.
AGUGAACGCUGGCGGUAGGCCUAACACAUGCAAGUCGAACGGCAGCACAGUAAGAGCUUGCUCUUACGGGUGGCGAGUGGCGGACGGGUGAGGAAUACAUCGGAAUCUACUUUUUCGUGGGGGAUAACGUAGGGAAACUUACGCUAAUACCGCAUACGACCUACGGGUGAAAGCAGGGGAUCUUCGGACCUUGCGCGAUUGAAUGAGCCGAUGUCGGAUUAGCUAGUUGGCGGGGUAAAGGCCCACCAAGUCGGCGAUCCGUAGCUGGUCUGAGAGGAUGAUCAGCCACACUGGAACUGAGACACGGUCCAGACUCCUACGGGAGGCAGCAGUGGGGAAUAUUGGACAAUGGGCGCAAGCCUGAUCCAGCCAUACCGCGUGGGUGAAGAAGGCCUUCGGGUUGUAAAGCCCUUUUGUUGGGAAAGAAAAGCAGCAGGUUAAUACCCCGCUGUUCUGACGGUACCCAAAGAAUAAGCACCGGCUAACUUCGUG